CCCCGUGAACCUUUACUAUAGCUUGACACUGAACAUUGAGCCUUGAUGUGUAGGAUAGGUGGGAGGCUUUGAAGCGUGGACGCCAGUCUGCGUGGAGCCAACCUUGAAAUACCACCCUUUAAUGUUUGAUGUUCUAACGUUGGCCCUUACCGGGGUUGCGGACAGUGUCUGGUGGGUAGUUUGACUGGGGCGGUCUCCUCCCAAAGCGUAACGGAGGAGCACGAAGGUUAGCUAAUCCUGGUCGGACAUCAGGAGGUUAGUGCAAUGGCAUAAGCUAGCUUGACUGCGAGCGUGACGGCGCGAGCAG
RNAcentral lists this ribosomal RNA (307 nucleotides) under Klebsiella pneumoniae. RNAcentral describes it as "bacterial LSU rRNA". It matches the Rfam family "Bacterial large subunit ribosomal RNA", at positions 2089 to 2396 of the family's 2925-position model. The record is from RNAcentral. Lineage: Bacteria; Pseudomonadati; Pseudomonadota; Gammaproteobacteria; Enterobacterales; Enterobacteriaceae.